Salvelinus fontinalis (brook trout) is the source of this 256-nucleotide long non-coding RNA. RefSeq lists it as uncharacterized. The record is from RefSeq and is a predicted model, not a curated record. The transcript is spliced from 3 exons. Lineage: Eukaryota; Metazoa; Chordata; Actinopteri; Salmoniformes; Salmonidae.
CCUAUUCUUUCUGAGGGGACUGGGGGUAGAGGAGAACUUUGUUCAGGGCAGGUCCUAUUCUUUCUGAGGGUAGAGGAGAUCCUUGUUCAGGGCAGGUCCUAUUCUUUCUGAGGGGACUGGGGGUAGAGGAGAACUUUGUUCAGGGCAGGUCCUAUUCUUUCUGAGGGUAGAGGAGAUCCUUGUUCAGGGCAGGUCCUAUUCUUUCUGAGGGGACUGGGGGUAGAGGAGAUCCUUGUUAAACCAGGUCCUAUUCUUU